CCAGACUCCUACGGGAGGCAGCAGUGGGGAAUAUUGCACAAUGGGGGAAACCCUGAUGCAGCAACGCCGCGUGAGUGAAGAAGUAUUUCGGUAUGUAAAGCUCUAUCAGCAGGGAAGAGAAUGACGGUACCUGACUAAGAAGCCCCGGCUAACUACGUGCCAGCAGCCGCGGUAAUACGUAGGUGGCAAGCGUUGUCCGGAUUUACUGGGUGUAAAGGGCGUGUAGCCGGGCUGACAAGUCAGAUGUGAAAUCCGGGGGCUCAACCCCCGAACUGCAUUUGAAACUGUUGGUCUUGAGUAUCGGAGAGGCAGGCGGAAUUCCUAGUGUAGCGGUGAAAUGCGUAGAUAUUAGGAGGAACACCAGUGGCGAAGGCGACUAUCUGGCACAUAACUGACGCUGAGGAGCGAAAGCGUGGGUAGCAAACAGGAUUAGAUACCCUGGUAU
Molecule: ribosomal RNA, 445 nt
Filed under: uncultured bacterium
Lineage: Bacteria
Description: bacterial SSU rRNA
Rfam family: Bacterial small subunit ribosomal RNA
Source: RNAcentral